CCUUGACAUCCAGCGAACUUUCCAGAGAUGGAUUGGUGCCUUCGGGAACGCUGAGACAGGUGCUGCAUGGCUGUCGUCAGCUCGUGUUGUGAAAUGUUGGGUUAAGUCCCGNAACGAGCGCAACCCUUAUCCUUUGUUGCCAGCGAUUCGGUCGGGAACUCAAAGGAGACUGCCGGUGAUAAACCGGAGGAAGGUGGGGAUGACGUCAAGUCAUCAUGGCCCUUACGAGUAGGGCUACACACGUGCUACAAUGGCGCAUACAAAGAGAAGCGACCUCGCGAGAGCAAGCGGACCUCAUAAAGUGCGUCGUAGUCCGGAUCGGAGUCUGCAACUCGACUCCGUGAAGUCGGAAUCGCUAGUAAUCGUGGAUCAGAAUGCCACGGUGAAUACGUUCCCGGGCCUUGUACACACCGCCCGUCACACCAUGGGAGUGGGUUGCAAAAGAAGUAGGUAGCUUAACCCUCGGGAGGGCGCUUACCACUUUGUGAUUCAUGACUGGGGUGAAGUCGUAACAAGGUAAGCGUAGUGCU
RNAcentral lists this ribosomal RNA (530 nucleotides) under uncultured bacterium. RNAcentral describes it as "bacterial SSU rRNA". It matches the Rfam family "Bacterial small subunit ribosomal RNA", at positions 979 to 1509 of the family's 1533-position model. The record is from RNAcentral.